This 460-nucleotide ribosomal RNA is filed under the name uncultured bacterium. Its description in RNAcentral is "bacterial SSU rRNA". It matches the Rfam family "Bacterial small subunit ribosomal RNA", at positions 30 to 534 of the family's 1533-position model. The record is from RNAcentral.
AUUGAACGCUGGCGGCAUGGCUAAAACAUGCAAGUCGAACGAGCCCGCAAGGGCAAGUGGCGAAAGGGUUAGUAAUACGAUCGAAUGCACCCUGAGGUGGCGGAUAGUCGUGGGAAACUGCGGGUAAUACGUCAUGAUCUCUCCGGAGCAAAGAUUUAUCGCCUUGGGAGCAGCGAUCGUCCUAUCAGGUAGUUGGCGGGGUAAUGGCCCACCAAGCCGAAGACGGGUAGCGGGUGUGAGAGCACGGCCCGCAACAUCGGAACUGAGACACUGUCCGGACUCCUACGGGAGGCUGCAGUAACGAAUCUUCCGCAAUGGGCGAAAGCCUGACGGAGCAAUGCCGCGUGUGGGAUGAAGCGCCUUCGGCGUGUAAACCAACUGUCAGGGAACGGAACCAAUGAUUGUUCCCAAAGGAAGUGGCGACUAACUCUGUGCCAGCAGCCGCGGUAGGCGUAUGUGU